RNAcentral lists this ribosomal RNA (253 nucleotides) under uncultured bacterium. RNAcentral describes it as "partial 16S ribosomal RNA". It matches the Rfam family "Bacterial small subunit ribosomal RNA", at positions 524 to 776 of the family's 1533-position model. The record is from RNAcentral.
UACGGAGGGUGCAAGCGUUAUCCGGAUUCACUGGGCUUAAAGGGUGCGUAGGCGGGCAAGUAAGUCAGUGGUGAAAUCUCCGGGCUUAACCCGGAAACUGCCAUUGAUACUAUUUGUCUUGAAUACUGUGGAGGUCAGCGGAAUAUGUCAUGUAGCGGUGAAAUGCUUAGAUAUGACAUAGAACACCAAUUGCGAAGGCAGCUGGCUACACAAAUAUUGACACUGAGGCACGAAAGCGUGGGGAGCAAACAGG